RNAcentral lists this ribosomal RNA (470 nucleotides) under uncultured bacterium. Its description in RNAcentral is "bacterial SSU rRNA". It matches the Rfam family "Bacterial small subunit ribosomal RNA", at positions 61 to 524 of the family's 1533-position model. The record is from RNAcentral.
GUCGAGCGGGUAGAGAGAAGCUUGCUUUUCUUGAGAGCGGCGGACGGGUGAGUAAUGCCUAGGAAUCUGCCUGGUAGUGGGGGAUAACGUUCGGAAACGGACGCUAAUACCGCAUACGUCCUACGGGAGAAAGCAGGGGACCUUCGGGCCUUGCGCUAUCAGAUGAGCCUAGGUCGGAUUAGCUAGUUGGUGAGGCAACGGCUCACCAAGGCGACGAUGCGUAGCCGACCUGAGAGGGUGACCGGCCACACUGGGACUGAGACACGGCCCAGACUCCUACGGGAGGCAGCAGUAGGGAAUCCUCCGCAAUGGACGAAAGUCUGACGGAGCAACGCCGCGUGAGCGAAGAAGGUCUUCGGAUCGUAAAGCUCUGUUGUCAGGGAAGAACAAGUGCCGUUCGAACAGGGCGGUACCUUGACGGUACCUGACGAGGAAGCCACGGCUAACUACGUGCCAGCAGCCGCGGUAAU